This is a non-coding RNA of Stegodyphus mimosarum, 73 nucleotides long. Lineage: Eukaryota; Metazoa; Arthropoda; Arachnida; Araneae; Eresidae. The record is from Rfam.
GCCUUCGUGGUGUAAUGGUUAGCACACUGAGCCGGUAUUUCAGAGGUCCGUGGUUCGAUUCCCGGCGAAGGCC